UAGAUUGAGUGCUGCUCUGGAACGAGGG
RNAcentral lists this small RNA (28 nucleotides) under Bombyx mori (domestic silkworm). Its description in RNAcentral is "ovarian small RNA-22173". Lineage: Eukaryota; Metazoa; Arthropoda; Insecta; Lepidoptera; Bombycidae. The record is from RNAcentral.